UAUCUCUGUAGAGUCUGCAUAUCAAUAAGCGGAGGAAAAGAAACUAACUAGGAUUCCCUCAGUAACGGCGAGUGAAGCGGGAAGAGCUCAAAUUUGAAAUCUUCAAGGUUUUACCUUGACGAAUUGUAGUUUAAAGAAGUGUUUUCUGUUGGAGUUUUGGUAAAAGUUCUUUGGAAUAGGACAUCAUAGAGGGUGAGAAUCCCGUAUUUGACCAUUAUUUCCAGCUUUGUGAUACACUUUCAAAGAGUCGGAUUGUUUGGGAAUGCAGUCCAAAAUGGGUGGUAAAUUUCAUCUAAAGCUAAAUACUGGCGAGAGACCGAUAGCGAACAAGUACCGUGAGGGAAAGAUGAAAAGAACUUUGAAAAGAGAGUUAAACAGUACGUGAAAUUGUCAAAAGGGAAGCGUUUGACACCAGUGUUGUUUUCUCGAAAAUCAAUUAAAAAUGGCGGGAUUUUGUGUUGUAUUGACUUUAUCAGCUUUCUGCACUUUUUUCCUGUCUUUUUUAAUGCACUUUUCGUUUAACAAGUCAACAUCAAUUUCUUUUGUUGUAAAAGAGUCAUUGGAAGGUGGCUUUCUUUUCGGAGAAAGUGUUUAUAGCCUUUGGCCUCUGCAAUCGGAGAGAUUGAGGUCUGCAGCGUAGAUCCUUCGGGGUUAGAUACAUUUGUGCUAAGUUAUAGCCUUUCAUAGGACAACUUGUUGACUAUGAUCAGUCAUGUAGCUUACUCGCUUAUGCUAUUUUACCUACGCUUAGGAUGUUGAGUCAUCACACAUCUCU
RNAcentral lists this ribosomal RNA (775 nucleotides) under uncultured Neocallimastigales. RNAcentral describes it as "partial large subunit ribosomal RNA". It matches the Rfam family "Eukaryotic large subunit ribosomal RNA", at positions 24 to 618 of the family's 3401-position model. Lineage: Eukaryota; Fungi; Neocallimastigomycota; Neocallimastigomycetes; Neocallimastigales. The record is from RNAcentral.